RNAcentral lists this ribosomal RNA (442 nucleotides) under uncultured bacterium. Its description in RNAcentral is "partial 16S ribosomal RNA". It matches the Rfam family "Bacterial small subunit ribosomal RNA", at positions 338 to 795 of the family's 1533-position model. The record is from RNAcentral.
CCUACGGGUGGCAGCAGUGGGGAAUAUUGGGCAAUGGGCGCAAGCAAGAAACAGCAACGCCGCGUGAAGGAAGAAGGCUUUCGGGUUGUAAACUUCUUUUGUCAGGGAAGAGUAGAAGACGGUACCUGACGAAUAAGCCACGGCUAACUACGUGUCAGCAGCCGCGGUAAUACGUAGGUGGCAAGCGUUGUCCGGAUUUACUGGGUGUAAAGGGCGUGUAGCCGGGUUGACAAGUCAGAUGUGAAAUCCUGCGGCUUAACCGCAGAACUGCAUUUGAAACUGUUGAUCUUGAGUACUGGAGAGGCAGACGGAAUUCCUAGUGUAGCGGUGAAAUGCGUAGAUAUUAGGAGGAACACCAGUGGCGAAGGCGGUCUGCUGGACAGCAACUGACGGUGAGGCGCGAAAGCGUGGGGAGCAAACAGGAUUAGAUACCCCUGUAGUC